UACGGGGGGUGCGAGCGUUGUCCGGAAUCACUGGGCGUAAAGGGCGCGUAGGUGGCCUGAUAAGGGUGUGGUGAAAGUCCGGGGCUCAACCCCGGAUCUGCCGUGCCGACUGUUGGGGCUGGAGUACUGUAGGGGCAGGCGGAAUUCCGGGUGUAGCGGUGGAAUGCGUAGAGAUCCGGAGGAAGACCGGUGGCGAAGGCGGCCUGCUGGGCAGUUACUGACACUGAGGCGCGACAGCGUGGGGAGCAAACAGG
Molecule: ribosomal RNA, 254 nt
Filed under: uncultured bacterium
Lineage: Bacteria
Description: partial 16S ribosomal RNA
Rfam family: Bacterial small subunit ribosomal RNA
Source: RNAcentral